Molecule: non-coding RNA, 70 nt
Organism: Chryseobacterium indologenes
Lineage: Bacteria; Pseudomonadati; Bacteroidota; Flavobacteriia; Flavobacteriales; Weeksellaceae
Source: Rfam
GUAUGAUGGAGACCAGAAACCAUCUAUCAAACGGGGCAGAUUCCGAAAAGCCAUAGGAGUAGGGAAACUA